UAUGACAGUCAUCAAACCUCCACCGAGUCUCUGGGUUCAGACCGUAAUGCUGGAGAACAGCAGAUGCUGCAGACGCCACUGAAGAUGUGCUCAGUCACACUGCUGGACUACAGGAAGAUGAAGACGAAGAGAGAAGCCACAGCUGAGGAACAACAGAGCCAUGAUGAGGAUUUCAAUCCUUCAGAGUUGCAGAAGUCCGAAAGCACUCUCUGCUCGGGGUCAGAGAGACUCGUCGUCUCAAUCCCACAUCAUUAACGCUUCAAGACCCUGAUGACUAUUGACUUACAUGGCUCUAUGAGAGCGCUUUGGACUUCAGAUUGGUGUCACAGUACUCUGAAAACCAGAGCUCGUUCUCAUGUGCUGACAGGCCUUUCUCAGCCGAUGAUCAGCAGCUGAUUGGCCG
This is a long non-coding RNA of Carassius carassius (crucian carp), 403 nucleotides long. RefSeq lists it as uncharacterized. NCBI's taxonomy places the organism in Eukaryota, Metazoa, Chordata, Actinopteri, Cypriniformes, Cyprinidae. The record is from RefSeq and is a predicted model, not a curated record. The transcript is spliced from 3 exons.